This 361-nucleotide long non-coding RNA is filed under the name Capsicum annuum. Its description in RNAcentral is "long non-coding RNA (CANN_LNC020318)". Lineage: Eukaryota; Viridiplantae; Streptophyta; Magnoliopsida; Solanales; Solanaceae. The record is from RNAcentral.
CGCGUCGGAACUCCGGCGAGCUCCGACAAUGACGAAAAACAGAGAGAACCUGACCGCGGCAACGUUUUCAAUGAUGCCUCGUCGGAAAGACCUCACUCUCUGCCGUAACUCUCCCUCUCUUGCUCGUUUUCUCUAUCUCAAUUCUCCCUCGAUUCACUCUCUGAAAUAAUCUCUUUUCUCUACUCUUGAUUUUCCCACUGACGAUCUUCUCCCCCAGUUCCCUCUCUACUCUCUCGAUUUCUACUCCCUGUGUGUGUGUUUUCAAAUUUCCAGUGAAUGUAUUCUCACUAAUACCCCCAUCGCUGUGUUGUUGCUGUGUAUAUCUUGUAGUGUGUAUUUCAAUGGAGAAUUGGAGUGUAUU